UACGGAGGGUGCAAGCGUUAUCCGGAUUUAUUGGGUUUAAAGGGUCCGUAGGCGGAUGUGUAAGUCAGUGGUGAAAUCUCACAGCUUAACUGUGAAACUGCCAUUGAUACUGCAUGUCUUGAGUGUUGUUGAAGUAGCUGGAAUAAGUAGUGUAGCGGUGAAAUGCAUAGAUAUUACUUAGAACACCAAUUGCGAAGGCAGGUUACUAAGCAACAACUGACGCUGAUGGACGAAAGCGUGGGGAGCGAACAGG
This 253-nucleotide ribosomal RNA is filed under the name uncultured bacterium. RNAcentral describes it as "partial 16S ribosomal RNA". It matches the Rfam family "Bacterial small subunit ribosomal RNA", at positions 524 to 776 of the family's 1533-position model. The record is from RNAcentral.